RNAcentral lists this long non-coding RNA (309 nucleotides) under Equus caballus (horse). RNAcentral describes it as "lncRNA (ENSECAG00000059464.1)". Lineage: Eukaryota; Metazoa; Chordata; Mammalia; Perissodactyla; Equidae. The record is from RNAcentral.
AACAAGCACCCAGGAGAUCCUUAUUAUGAGGCAAGUUUGAAAAAACGAGGAAACAGUUAUAUGACAGUUGUACGUAAUGACUAUGAUUAAACCUCCAUAAGCCAGUCGAGGUGGACCCUAAAUCCAAUGACACUGUCCUUGUAAGACACAAAUAAGAAGACACAGAACGCAGAGGAGAAGGCCAGGUGAAGAGGGAGGCAGAGAUCAGCAUGACGCUGUUCACAAACCAAGGAAUGCCGAGGAUUGCAGAAGCCACCAGAAGCUCAGGAAGAGGCAAGGAAGGGUUCUCCCCUAGAGCCUUUGGAGUAA